Amphiprion ocellaris (clown anemonefish) is the source of this 1634-nucleotide long non-coding RNA. NCBI's taxonomy places the organism in Eukaryota, Metazoa, Chordata, Actinopteri, Pomacentridae. The record is from Ensembl.
GGGCGUCUCUAUAAAAGCAGAUGGCACCUGUCAUUUGAAGCUGGACUGUCGUCUAAUCUCCAGUUAGUGCUGGGAGUAGAACUGUCUUUGCCACCAGCCUAGAAUUGCCAGUAAUUCUAUUUUCUGUGUUUAGAAAGCUGAUUCCUGCCUGCUGAGUUGCCUGGGUUCCUUCGUCUGCUGGUUUUCCACCCUACCACCGAUUCGGUCUUCUUCUCCGGAGGAUCUCCACCUGUUGCCAGCUUAACCUGGGAACAUCAACGUACACCUGGAAAGAGGACUUUCUCUGGUUCACUUACAGGCCUGGGUCUCGUAAUGUAAAGCCUGAUGCUCUUUCUCGACAGUUUUCUGGUUCUGAGGAAUUUAAGACUCCUGAGCCUAUCCUUCCUGGAUCCUGUUUGGUGGCAUCACCUACCUGGCAGGUGGAGACUAAGGUGUUGCAGUGGGGCCACACCUCCAAGAUUGCCUGUCAUCCGGGAUAUAACUGUAUCCUGGAGAUUCUGUGACUGAAGUUUUGGUGGCCCACCAUGGACAAGAAUGUCAGAAUAUGUGAAGGCCUGUACGGUUUGUUCAAGGAACAAGAUGUCCAGCCAACCCAUCUCUGGAGUCUUGCAACCGCUGCCUAUUCCAAAACGUUCUUGGUCUCACAUCGCAGUAGGUUUUGUCACGGGAUUGCCUCUGUCUCAAGCCAACGGCCAGACUGAGCGCACAAACCAGUCCCUGGAGGUUUUCCUGCACUGUCUGGCAUCAGAGAAUCCAUCUUCAUGGUCUGAGAGGUUGCCAUGGAUUGAGAGCAGGACAUUUCCAUUCUGUCUGUCCAGGCUAUGGUUGGGAGGUUCAGGCGCACCUGGAAGAAGGCCAGGUGGGCACUUCUCCAAUGGUCACAAAGGAUGUCCGUGCAGGCAAAUCGUCAUCGCAGACCAGCUCCAGUUUAUCGGCCUGGACAGAAGGUGUGUGUGGUGAAGCUGGCAGCAGGUGUGCUGCAUCGUAAUCAGCGGACGAGCUUCAGAAAGCAGAUUCCUGCCUGCUGAGUUGCCUGGGUUCCUUCGUCUGCUGGUUUUCUGCCCUACCACGGACUCUGUCUUCUUCUCCGGAGGAUCUCCACCUAUUGCCAGCUUAACCUGGGAACAGCAACGUACACCUGGCAAGAGGACUUUCUCUGGGAACAUCUGCCACGACCAGGUUCUACUGAUGUCAACUUACCAAGCACAUGGCAAACACUGGGAGGGAGAGUUCUGGAUGAAGUCAAACCAAAAGGACUGUUCUCAGCUCAUCAGUUAAGUCUCCAAACCCUAGUAUCACCAGACUCUUUGUAUUGUUAAUACGUCAAAUUAAAUGAUCAGCAUUCCGUAUUUAACUUAAUGUCUUUUAUGUUUUGCGUAGGAUGGCUUUAGUCUGGGGUUUCAGCUCAUAAUUACUGGUAGUCUAGGCUGGGUUAGUUUUGUAUUUUCAGUUGUUUCCCUACCUUGGUCUUGCCAUAUGUGGGUUAACAUUAGUUUGUUUCCAUGUUCAUGUAGUUACUCCUCCGUACCUCUAGAUGGUUUUUGUUUUUUAGUUCUAGUAGUAUAGUUCUUUGUCUAAGAUCCUGGUUCCUGUAUAGAGUUUCUUGUUGUGAAUAAAAGCAUUUUUAAAAUGUU